Podarcis lilfordi (Lilford's wall lizard) is the source of this 76-nucleotide non-coding RNA. Lineage: Eukaryota; Metazoa; Chordata; Lepidosauria; Squamata; Lacertidae. The record is from the annotation of a GenBank genome assembly.
GCUGGUGAAAUAGCUCAGUUGGUAGAGCAUGAGACUCCUGAUCUCAGGGUCAUGGGUUCAAGCACCACGUUGGGCG